Long non-coding RNA from Benincasa hispida (wax gourd), 834 nucleotides. RefSeq lists it as uncharacterized. Lineage: Eukaryota; Viridiplantae; Streptophyta; Magnoliopsida; Cucurbitales; Cucurbitaceae. The record is from RefSeq and is a predicted model, not a curated record.
UAGUUCAAUCUCUCCAACUUUCCUCGACUCUGAAAUAAGUGUUGAGCUUGAGAGACCAAAAUUUCUAAAAAAGAUACAUAGCCUAUUGGUUUUUUCUCCUGUGAAAAUUGUCUUGGACUCCUUUGAAAUUGUGAACUACCCAUUUUUUUCCAUGAAAGGAACGCCCUUGGCCAGCCAACAUCCCAAUGGAUAUUAGAUUUCUUUGAGACAUGCCUCACAUUUUUCAAGAGGAUGUCUCUAUUUUCUUCAAGCUUUAAACCAAUUGAGGCAAUUUCCACAAUUUUGAAAUUGUGAUUCCCUCCUAUCGAAACAGCCCAUCCCUUACUUGAUUAGUAAGUCACAAACCAAUCUUUUCAACAAUAGCUAGCAUUUUUGGGGGUGGAAAAAAAGCAAAUAAAUCUUCCCCAAUAGAGACAUCUUCAUCUCCAUUUUCCCUGCUUCUUCCAUAUUCCUCGUCUUUUCUAUCUUCUGGAAAAUUUCAUUUAAAAUGGCCCUUCUUGUGACAAAGAUAACAUUUCAGCACUAAUUUUCCUUUGAAAUUUCUUUGACCCUUGAAAGAUGGCUUCAGGUGAGGAGUUUAUUAGAAGAGUAGCUUCACUUUCUGAACCCAAUUUCCCCCCUGUAGCAGCAAACUCUUUGGUGAGUUCCUUGAACUCAUCGAGAUUCUCAUCAAGAGACUUGGGACUAUUCAUACACACAGACAUGCCAAUCCAAGGUUCCAUAAAAAACAACUUUACCAAAAACUCUUUGCAGAACAUACAAAAUACCAACACACAAACGAAAGUAAAUGAGAGAAGAAUGGACAGGAAACAAGAACUCUUCCUUACUCGAAAA